This 72-nucleotide transfer RNA is filed under the name Bos taurus (domestic cattle). It matches the Rfam family "tRNA". Rfam says of the family: Transfer RNA (tRNA) molecules are approximately 80 nucleotides in length. RNAcentral also lists the same sequence under 5 other names. The record is from Rfam by way of RNAcentral. Lineage: Eukaryota; Metazoa; Chordata; Mammalia; Artiodactyla; Bovidae.
UCCCUUGUGGCUCAGCUGGUAAAGAAUUCGUCUCUGAUGCGAGAGACCUGGGUUCAAUCCCUGGUUUGGGAA